This 253-nucleotide ribosomal RNA is filed under the name uncultured bacterium. Its description in RNAcentral is "partial 16S ribosomal RNA". It matches the Rfam family "Bacterial small subunit ribosomal RNA", at positions 524 to 776 of the family's 1533-position model. The record is from RNAcentral.
UACAGAGGUCUCGAGCGUUAGGCGGAAUCACUGGGCUUAAAGCGUGUGUAGGCGGAUCGUUAAGUGCCUUGUGAAAUCCCACGGCUCAACCGUGGAACUGCUUGGCAUACUGGCGGUCUUGAGCAACCUAGGGGCGAGCGGAACAAAUGGUGGAGCGGUGAAAUGCGUAGAUAUCAUUUGGAACGCCAAUGGUGAAAUCAGCUCGCUGGGGGUUUGCUGACGCUGAGACACGAAAGCCAGGGGAGCGAACGGG